Molecule: long non-coding RNA, 2242 nt
Organism: Falco peregrinus (peregrine falcon)
Lineage: Eukaryota; Metazoa; Chordata; Aves; Falconiformes; Falconidae
Exons: 3
Source: RefSeq, a predicted model, not a curated record
GUCUGGGUGAGUGGGAAGGACAGCAGGUCCCACAGGGCUGCUGCUCCCCUCCUUCCAAACCAGAGGCUGAUAAAAGCAGGAGGAGCAGAGACAUGAUUCCUCCUGCUGCUCCUCAUCACCAACUGCAAUGAUUGCACCUACCAGUCAUUCGUUCUGCUGGUUCUUCCUAAGCCACCAAGCUGAAGCCCGAGGGUUUGUACCGGAGGGGCUAGCGGAGGGAGGGCAGUGAGGGGUCAGGUCACUGCCAGGCGGCUGGGUGUGUAAGAAUGGGGGCUUAUAAGAAAGAUGAGGACAGACUUUUUAGCAGGGCCUGUAGCAAUAGGACAAAGCGUAAUGGUUUUAAACUAAAAGCUAGAUUCAGACUAGCUAUAAGGAAGAAAUCUUUUGCGAUGAGGUUGUUGAAACACUGAAUAGGUUGCUCAGAGAGGUGGUAGAUGCCCCAUCUCUGGAAACAUUCAAGGUCAGAUUGGAUGGGGCUCUGAGCCACCUGGUCUAGUGGAAGAUGUUCCUGUUCAUUGCAGGGGGGUUGGACUAGAUGACCUUAGAAUCAUAGAAUCAUUUAGGUUGGAAAAGACCUUUAAGACCGUCAAGUCCAACUGUUAACCCAGGACUGGCAAAUCCACCACUAAACUACAUCCCUAAGCACCGCAUCUACAUGCUUUUUAAGGACUUCCAUGGAUGGUGAUUCCACCACCUCCCUGAGCAGCCCGUUCCAAUGCUUGACCACCCUUUCAGUGAAGAAAUUUUUCCUAAUAUCCAAUCUAAACCUCCCAGGCUCAACUUGAGGCUGUUUCCUCUUGUUCUGUCACCAGUUAUCUGGGAGAAGAGACCAACCCCCACCUGCCCCCAGCCUCCUUUCAGGCAGCUGUAGAGAGCGAUAAGGUCCCCCCUGAGCCUCCUCCUCUCCAGAAUAAACAACCCCACUUCCCUCAGCUGCUCCUCACAAGGCUUGUUCUCUGGUCCCUUCACCUUUAUAGGUCCUUUCCAAAACAACCUCUUCCAUGAUUCUGUGAAGAGUGUUUUGCAGGAAGAGGAGAUCAGCUGGGAGUCUGGUGGUGUGGUGUCACCCGCAGGACCUGGGUCGAGGGCAGGGGCAGUGCCAGAGAAGCUGCUUUGGAUCUGAGGCAGGUCUUGGAGAAAGGAGAAGUGAUAGAGCCUUGUUGUUGUGGAGGAGAUGGUGGAGCUGAAUGUGGAAUCAACUAGCCCCAAACAAAAUGCUCAACAUAUGAAAUGGCUGAAGGAUGCAAGCAGGGCCAGCGGAUGAUAUCUUGGCUCAUCUUCAAGAGGAAGGGUUGGAAGUGUGUUGUGCAAGUGCCAAGUAUGGCAUGUGGAUCAAUUUUGGAUGGCACCCAGCCAGGCUGGCAAGGAGCCAGGAGCCUUCGCAUCCGAAGCACAGCAUUGAGAGAGCCAACAGCGCUAGCUCCCAGCUUCUCCCGAGUCCUGUGGGAGCCCAGGAGCCAUUCUGGAGGAUGAUGCUGGAAUUACGUGUGGAAAGGACCGUAUUGAUUCUCCUGAGGCAUCAGUCUUCUGCUGCCCUCCUGCCCCACAUGCUUCUCUUCCAGCCAAGCACAGCACAGCGCUGGGUCACCUAACUUGCUGUCCCGGUUCUCGGGAGCAUGUGCUCCGAUGACAGUGACCACCAAGCAUCAUUCAAGGACGCUGUGCAUCACACAUGGCACAAGAGCCUCCAAGUCUCAUUUGAGCUCCUGGUUUCAUUAAAACUGCUUCAGGGAAAACAUUUUGGUGACAGGAGCAGAUUCUUUGUGGAGCUGAAUGAGGGAAACUAUGUUGUUCAAGUAAAGGCAAUUUAAUUCAUAUAAAAUAAAUGCUGACUUGUUAAAGAAGAUUAUUCUCCUCUUCUUCGUACCCCUAUUGUCCCUUUCUUGUGCUAUUUGUUUAAAGCAUAUGCAAGCAGCUGGCACAGGGCAGCGGUUUCUCCAGGAAGCCAAUUUCUGUCUCCAAAAGUAAAAUCUGAAAAAAAGGAAAAGUGAAAUCUGCCUCCAAAUGCAGGAGUUGCUGUUCAAAAUGAAAAUGAAUUGGUAGGUAGGAGGGCCGGGAAAAGAGAGGGGGAGAGCAAGAGAGGGAUGGGGGCAACACGGCGUGCCCAGACCUCUCCCUUAAGGCUGGACGACGGCCGUUCCCAUGCCUGGCAACAAGCUUCCUGCGCUCCUGUUGCCUCCCGCACCUUUUAAAAGCGGGUGUUGGUACAGAGGACCAGUAGAGUUUUAAUUUACCUCCAGAG